GUGUGUUAUAUAUGUUGUCGGCUACGACAUACCUAAGAGACUCCCUCGCUUUAUUUGUAAAAAAGAUUGAUCUUUGAUAUUAAUAGCCAAAUCCAUCCAAGGUUAAAUUUGCCCGAGGGAGCUGAAACCUUAGUUACAGAUCUAUCAUACUGUCGUUAUUGUUAAGACUGCCUACACUAGGAGAAGGCUUUCAACUCCUAAAGGCAUGAUUAAC
This 214-nucleotide long non-coding RNA is filed under the name Mytilus galloprovincialis (Mediterranean mussel). The record is from RNAcentral. Lineage: Eukaryota; Metazoa; Mollusca; Bivalvia; Mytilida; Mytilidae.